This 188-nucleotide non-coding RNA is filed under the name Anaerolineales bacterium HSG24. RNAcentral describes it as "6S RNA". It matches the Rfam family "6S / SsrS RNA". From Rfam's summary of the family: E. coli 6S RNA was the first non coding RNA to be sequenced, but its function was unknown until recently. Lineage: Bacteria; Bacillati; Chloroflexota; Anaerolineae; Anaerolineales. The record is from RNAcentral.
AUUACCCUACCGUUCACGUGAUGCUCUACGCGCCCCGACCUCAACAUUUUUUUUAUGGGGACUGAUGUUUUGGAGGUUAUGUGUUAGCCCACUCUUGGGCGAGGCAGACGCUUCUAUCCUAAGUUCCCACCUGUAUGUAAUAUGCAGGUCGAAAGGUGCUGGAUGACACACGGCUCGGCGGGGUAUUU